This 856-nucleotide ribosomal RNA is filed under the name Punctelia borreri. RNAcentral's name for it is "eukaryotic LSU rRNA". It matches the Rfam family "Eukaryotic large subunit ribosomal RNA", at positions 71 to 942 of the family's 3401-position model. Lineage: Eukaryota; Fungi; Ascomycota; Lecanoromycetes; Lecanorales; Parmeliaceae. The record is from RNAcentral.
GGGAUUGCCUCAGUAACGGCGAGUGAAGCGGCAACAGCUCAAAUUUGAAAUCUGGCUCCUUCGGGGUCCGAGUUGUAAUUUGUAGAGAGUGUUUCGGGUGAGGCCGCGGUCUAAGUCCAUUGGAACAUGGCGUCAUAGAGGGUGAGAAUCCCGUAUGUGACCGUGGAUCGAGCCCAUGUGAAGCCUCUUCGACGAGUCGAGUUGUUUGGGAAUGCAGCUCAAAAUGGGUGGUAAAUUUCAUCUAAAGCUAAAUACUGGCUGGAGACCGAUAGCGCACAAGUAGAGUGAUCGAAAGAUGAAAAGCACUUUGGAAAGAGAGUGAAACAGUACGUGAAAUUGUUGAAAGGGAAGCGCUUGCAACCAGACCUGCCCGUAGGCGAUCAGCCGCUGUUCUCAGUGGUGCACUCGCUCUGCGAUCAGGCCAGCAUCGGUUUCGGCGGCCGGAUAAAGGCCUUGGGAAUGUAGCUCUCUUUUGGGGGAGUCUUAUAGCCCUCGGUGCAAUGCGGCCAGCCGGGACCGAGGACCGCGCUUCGGCUAGGAUGCUGGCGUAAUGGUUGUAAGCGACCCGUCUUGAAACACGGACCAAGGAGUCUAACAUCUAUGCGAGUGUUUGGGUGUUAAACCCAUGCGCGGAAUGAAAGUGAACGGAGGUGAGAACCCUUAAGGGCGCAUCAUCGACCGAUCCAGAUGUCUUCGGAUGGAUUUGAGUAUGAGCAUAGCUGUUGGGACCCGAAAGAUGGUGAACUAUGCCUGAAUAGGGUGAAGCCAGAGGAAACUCUGGUGGAGGCUCGCAGCGGUUCUGACGUGCAAAUCGAUCGUCAAAUUUGGGCAUAGGGGCGAAAGACUAAUCGAACCA